Molecule: ribosomal RNA, 301 nt
Filed under: uncultured bacterium
Lineage: Bacteria
Description: partial 16S ribosomal RNA
Rfam family: Bacterial small subunit ribosomal RNA
Source: RNAcentral
CAGCCGCCACGGGAAUACAGAGGGUGCAAGCGUUAAUCGGAUUUACUGGGCGUAAAGCGUGCGUAGGUGGCCAAUUAAGUCAAAUGUGAAAUCCCCGAGCUUAACUUGGGAAUUGCAUUCGAUACUGGUUGGCUAGAGUAUGGGAGAGGAUGGUAGAAUUCCAGGUGUAGCGGUGAAAUGCGUAGAGAUCUGGAGGAAUACCGAUGGCGAAGGCAGCCAUCUGGCCUAAUACUGACACUGAGGUACGAAAGCAUGGGGAGCAAACAGGAUUAGAUACCCCAGUAGUCCCUGUCUCUUAUAC